Molecule: transfer RNA, 60 nt
Filed under: Mezira sp.
Lineage: Eukaryota; Metazoa; Arthropoda; Insecta; Hemiptera; Aradidae
Description: tRNA-Ala
Source: RNAcentral
GGGGUAGUAGUUAACCAUAACAUUUAAUUUGCAAUUAAAAAGUACUUUUAGUCUUCCUCG